GCUGCAGCCGCUGGAGUCGCUCCGGUUCUACCUCCCCUCCCCGGUCAAAGAUGACAUCAUCCGUAGUAGAAGAAAGCUCGUGCAACAGGGUGUGGAUGUGAGCAGAGUGAAAAUCAAAUCAUUUAUAUCUGACAGGGGUUCGGGAGCUCGGAGGGACCACAAGAGGACCCUUAAGAGUCAGCGAUAGCAGGACCUUGUCAUGUCUCUGACUCGUAACCCGCCAGAGGGAUGACAAACACGGUAAUGUCAUCGCCCGAGCCCAGUCUCUCAUUGGGUAGCCGCCAGCCACGCUCCUUGAGGACUCCUCGAGACCUCAUCAGCAGGUCCUGGGCUGCCAGUGUGUACCUGUGUGACACACAAAACAGUGAUUACAAAAGUACCAUUAACCACAGCUUUCUAUGCACUGAGGAGACCAUAAAGCCUCUUGAACAUUUCCCUGUGUGCUUAAUGUAGCAAAGAAAACAGAAGACUACCAGGUACUGCAGCCGCUGCCUCUCCGACUCAGAUUGUCAGUCAUCAUCUUCUCACCAUCUGUGAGAAGGCCGUCUCUAUGACUCCCAUCACCAGGCUCUGCAGGCUCACCACCUUCUCCAUGUGAAAGCGAACUGUUGAGUCGUUGACAGCAUCCGAAUCUUCAGGUUCCUGCGCAGCUCCUUUCUUUGAGUCCGCUUGGUACGGGCUGCCAUUUUUGGCCAGGCAAAUAGGAGGUGCAUUGUUGGGGUUCUCCAGCAGGUGGCAGACUUCCCCCAGACGAUCUCGGAUGAGGAGGUGGAGGAGCUUGGAGGCCAUGAUGGCAGCUCCAGAGCCUGCAUGUCCAUCAAACACGCCCCAGAAGUGGAGAGGGAUUCCUGUUCCAUCCUACAAUGAAACAAAAUAUAAAAAUAAAUACAUGAUUGAUCAAUUCAGCAAAAAAAAAUGAAGCAAGGACAUAACAACAAACACGGUUCUGGUUUUCAAAUGUCCAGUGAAAUUCUAAUCUUGAGGAGAAGACACAGAUUUGUUUGGGUUCAUCAGCAAUGAGACUAGUGCUGUCAACAUUUUUUAAUGCUGAGAAAUAUGAUUCCUCCAUUCAGAGUUAAUCUAGAUUAUCAUGCAAGGGCAAAGUUAAUGGACGAGUGAAGUACAAACAUUUUUUUAAUUUAAGUAAAAAGGUAAACAGUAAAAUAGUGUUUGGUGUAUCUGUCCUGACCGGAUCUAAAAAGUGAUUAAAAUUUUCUCCUCUUGCCUCA
Molecule: long non-coding RNA, 1229 nt
Organism: Notolabrus celidotus (New Zealand spotty)
Lineage: Eukaryota; Metazoa; Chordata; Actinopteri; Labriformes; Labridae
Exons: 4
Source: RefSeq, a predicted model, not a curated record